Molecule: long non-coding RNA, 633 nt
Filed under: Brachypodium distachyon (stiff brome)
Lineage: Eukaryota; Viridiplantae; Streptophyta; Magnoliopsida; Poales; Poaceae
Description: long non-coding RNA (BDIS_LNC004672)
Source: RNAcentral
GCCAAGGUAUAGUAAUCGGGGCAGACAAUUCAUAUGGAUUAAUGCGGAAUUCGUUUCCUGUCGUGCGUCACGUCAGAAGUCGGUUAGCGUUUUUUCUGACACUACUUGUUCGGACGUGUCAAAGAUGAUCGACUUAUCUUAUCUAUGCGGCCUGUCGGAAGCUGUCUUUGACAAGCUCAUAUAAGAUGCGUCAGCAAUGAAAGGCCCUGCAAUGCAAGGACGAUGAUUUUUGUAGCAAUGAAGAGGCAAGAAAAUGCAUCCAAAGUUCGUGUGAGGAAGGUGGGAUAGUUUGGAUGUACACAAUCCUACCGUAGUAUAUGUGGUCAUGUUGAUACAAGUUGCUCGUCAGCAGCCAUUGAGUGCAACUCGGCGAAUAAUUAUUGGUAUCCCAUCCACAUGACUACAUGUACUACCUACGAGAAAUGAUUAUGGGCCCAAGAGAAAAAAAAAACGGCUUGAACUUUUAUGUGAAAAUAGGUACAGUAACUACUGCCAAGGAUGAUUUUGGGCCAAAUGUCAUGUCAUAUUCAUCGUAGCAGAUCUGAGAUACAUAAGCCGGGCGAUGAUUACCCGAAAAAAAAAGAUACAUAAGACGAUUAGCAGCAGGUCAACAUCGGCUAUGAUUUCCCGCAA